This 632-nucleotide long non-coding RNA is filed under the name Mus spicilegus (steppe mouse). RNAcentral's name for it is "lncRNA (ENSMSIG00000019963.1)". Lineage: Eukaryota; Metazoa; Chordata; Mammalia; Rodentia; Muridae. The record is from RNAcentral.
UUGAAAUUUGAGAAGAUUGUUCCUAUAUCUAGAGGUGCUCGUGACUCAUGCUCUCUUUCUUUUUGUUCUGGAUGCUUUGAAAAGCCAUAGGAAAGUUCCUUCAAGCCCAGCAGUUAAUUGUCACAGUGAGGCCUGUUUGAUGACUCCAUAUUUAUUUUAAGAGGAACCGCAUUCCGCUGGGCCUGCCAGGAUGAGUUAGCUGCGAAAUGCAUUCCUAAAUAGCUAAAUGAUUCAGCACAAGAUCCCUAUAUGAAAUUGACUCUGUAAUGCAGCUGCAUGUCUCUCUGUUGGAAAGUCUAUCUAUUUCAGAAAAAUGAUUGUCCUUAUGCAGUCUGGUUUUAAGUACACCUGAUCUUUGGAAAGAACGGGAUCAUUCUGAACAUCACAUGAUGAAGAGAGUUGACAGCAUUAUUGCAAACCACAUAGACCUCUACAACAGGGACAUUUGUAUUAUUUAAGGACAUCUAUCAGAUAACAUUUGCUCAGGUUAUGUUGUGGAAUGGUGUCAUCAGAAAUCCCAGGAUGGAAUGGAAACCAAGAUUCCAUGAAUUCAAGACUUGUAAGAAGAGGGUCUGAGAAUCCAGCCUUUUACAAAUGACAUUUCAUGGUUGGGCUGUAUUAAGGAACCAUUG